RNAcentral lists this ribosomal RNA (1289 nucleotides) under Niphargus sp. ND525. Its description in RNAcentral is "partial large subunit ribosomal RNA". It matches the Rfam family "Eukaryotic large subunit ribosomal RNA", at positions 1357 to 2170 of the family's 3401-position model. Lineage: Eukaryota; Metazoa; Arthropoda; Malacostraca; Amphipoda; Niphargidae. The record is from RNAcentral.
AAGGCUUCAGUACGACCCAGUCAGAACUAUAAGUCUCAAAGCCCCGACGAGUAGGGUGGCGUGCCGGUGCGCGUUGAAGGCCAAGACGUGAGUCAGGCUGGAGCCGCCGGUAGUGCAGAUCUUGGUGGUAGUAGCAAGUACUCUGGUGAACCAACCUGGAGCUGUGAGGUCUGGAUCAGGGUUCCAUGUCAACAGUGAUUGAACAUGGGUGAGUCGAUCCUAAGCCAACUGUGAAAGCAGUGACAUCCCGACAAAGGGGCAUUACGUGCGCUGCACUUACACCCCCACGGCAAAGCUCUGAGAUAUAUAUAUAUCUCUCUCUCUCUGACGAUAAAGGUGUCUGGUACGGAAUAUGCGCACGCACGGUGAUCACUACAAAUACGUGUGUGAGUGUGUGCGCUUGUAUGGUUACGCUCAUAAGCGUUGUUGCUCUCUGGUAAAAGGAUAAAGCAUAAGAGAGAGAGAGAGAGACACACAGAGUGUGGGUGAGCGUGAGUUUCCUCUCGCAUGAGCCCCCUGCGUCUGGUUCUAUGUCUGGCGAAAGGGAAUGGGGACUUUGUUCCUUGACCGGUCCCGGCACCCUCGAUUGGCUUUGCCAAUUAAUGGUCCAUGCAAAUGGAACCAGGCCACAGCCGCUGGCAGUCGCCCGAGGAAGAGUUUUCUUUUCUGCUUAACGCACGAGGUCAUCCCUGGAAACAGUUCGGCUGGCGAAAGGGUGCCCCGUUGCGGCAGAGCGCCACGACUGUCGUGCGCGUCUCGGUGUUCCUGCCGGUCCGUGAAGACGUGGUCGAGGGGAUUGCUCUUGUAUCAACGAAACGCCCGACAAGUUCGGGACGGACCGUACCCUAUAUCCGCAUCUGGUCUCCAAGGUUCGUAGCCUCUGCAGAGUCAGACACAUGUAGGUAAGGGAAGUCGGCAAACUCGAUCCGUAACUUCGGGAAAAGGAUUGGCUCUGAGGGCCGAGCUGGGCCGGGCCUUGCCUGCAAAGCAGUACCUAUAGUGACCGGAGUUUCAGGAGUGCGAGGGGCUCUAGUAGCUGCUCGCGCGUGUGUGCGUUCGCGCGUGCGCGCGUGUGGGCACGAACGAGUCCACCGCUCCGCUCCAACCACGAACGGCUGUGACGGCAAGGGCUCUGGGCGGGAGCGAUCAAACUGUUGGCCUCCAGCUCGUCUGGUUGGCGGCGGUGCUCCGUCUGACCCAUACGGCUCCAGCGGCUAGCGGCUAACUCAGAACUGUCAUGGACCAAGGGAAUCCGACUGUCUAAUUAAAACAAAGCGUCGUGACGCCCC